Molecule: long non-coding RNA, 414 nt
Organism: Juglans regia (Persian walnut)
Lineage: Eukaryota; Viridiplantae; Streptophyta; Magnoliopsida; Fagales; Juglandaceae
Exons: 3
Source: RefSeq, a predicted model, not a curated record
AAGGCUUCGAAAUGGCUUUUCUAGCCGGUCUCUUGCGGCACCGAUAGUCUGAUUCAGCUCGGACUGAGUUCGUCGGGGUGAAUGCAUUCGAUUCCGCUGCUUCUCAGUGGUUUGUGCACCGUUCGAAUAUGUUGAUCAUCAAUUGAUUAGGCUGGCCUUGUGGGCGAACUUGAAUUCAAACUUGACGUUGAAUGAGUGAUUAGUGUGUGCUUCGGCACUUGAAAGGAAUGAGUUGGAAGAGCUACGGUUAUCACCUCAGAAUGCUUCGGAGUUAAUUCCGGGUGGACUAAAUGCUUUUGACUUGAAACUGAUACCCCAAAUCAAGGAACAGAAAGGUGUUCAUGUCAUUUUUGCAUUGCUAAUGAUGCCCCUGGUCUCCUCACAAGAAAGAAAGAAAGAAGAAUGCACAAAGAU